AUCGAUGAAGAACGCAGCGAAAUGCGAUAAGUAAUGUGAAUUGCAGAAUUCAGUGAAUCAUCGAAUCUUUGAACGCACCUUGCGCUCCCUGGUAUUCCGGGGAGCACGCCUGUUCGAGUGUCAUGAAACUCUCAAUCCGAAUGGUUUAAUCGCCUAUUCUGGAUUGGAUUUGAACCCUGCCGUGCCUACGCUCGGCUGGUUCUAAAAGUAUUAGCUGGUCCUUGAAACUCUUGGUUCUACUCGGCGUGAUAAUUAUCUGACGUUGAGGACAUCUCUUUUACUAGAGGUGGCCAGGAUUCUCUAUGGAUUGCUUUCGAAUCGUCUUUCAAACAGACAAUCUAUUUCAAUAUCUGACCUCGAAUCAGGCGGGACUACCCGCUGAACUUAAGCAUAUCAAUAAGCGGAGGAAAAGAAACUAACAAGGAUUCCCCUAGUAACGGCGAGUGAAGCGGGAUGAGCUCAAAUUUAAAAUCUGGUGGUCUUCGGCCAUCCGAGUUGUAAUCUAGAGAAGUGUUUUCCGCGCUGGACCAUGUACAAGUUUCCUGGAACGGAACGUCAUAGAGGGUGAGAAUCCCGUCCUUGACAUGGACUACCAGUGCUCUGUGAUGCGCUCUCAACGAGUCGAGUUGUUUGGGAUUGCAGCUCAAAAUGGGAGGUAAAUUCCUUCUAAAGCUAAAUAUUGGCGAGAGACCGAUAGCGAACAAGUACCGUGAGGGAAAGAUGAAAAGCACUUUGGAAAGAGAGUUAAACAGUACGUGAAAUUGUUAAAAGGGAAACGAUUGAAGUCAGUCGCGUUUGCUUGGACUCAGCCUUACCUCGGUUUGGUGCAUUUCCUUGUAGACGGGCCAGCGUCAAUGUUGUUCGUUGGAAAAGGGUUGAAGGAAUGUGGCUCUUUCGGGAGUGUUAUAGCCUUUGAUCGUAUACAGCGCGUGAUAUUGAGUGGUACAGCAUGCUUCGGCGGUGCUUGUGCUGGCAUAAUGGCUUUAAACGACCCGUCUUGAAACACGG
Molecule: ribosomal RNA, 1008 nt
Filed under: uncultured Basidiomycota
Lineage: Eukaryota; Fungi; Basidiomycota
Description: eukaryotic LSU rRNA
Rfam family: Eukaryotic large subunit ribosomal RNA (bases 352-1008)
Source: RNAcentral